This 465-nucleotide ribosomal RNA is filed under the name uncultured bacterium. Its description in RNAcentral is "partial 16S ribosomal RNA". It matches the Rfam family "Bacterial small subunit ribosomal RNA", at positions 338 to 795 of the family's 1533-position model. The record is from RNAcentral.
CCUACGGGUGGCAGCAGUAGGGAAUCUUCCACAAUGGGCGAAAGCCUGAUGGAGCAACGCCGCGUGGGUGAAGAAGGCCUUCGGAUCGUAAAACUCUGUUGUUAGAGAAGAAAGUGCGUGAGAGUAACUGUUCACGUUUCGACGGUAUAUAACCAGAAAGCCACGGCUAACUACGUGCCAGCAGCCGCGGUAAGACGUAGGUGGCAAGCGUUAUCCGGAUUUAUUGGGCGUAAAGGGAACGCAGGCGGUCUUUUAAGUCUGAUGUGAAAGCCUUCGGCUUAACCGGAGUAGUGCAUUGGAAACUGGGAGACUUGAGUGCAGAAGAGGCGAGUGGAACUCCAAGUGUAGCGGUGAAAUGCGUAGAUAUAUGGAAGAACACCAGUGGCGAAGGCGGCUCUCUGGUCUGUAACUGACGCUGAGGUUCGAAAGCGUGGGUAGCAAACAGGAUUAGAUACCCCAGUAGUC